Molecule: ribosomal RNA, 255 nt
Filed under: uncultured bacterium
Lineage: Bacteria
Description: partial 16S ribosomal RNA
Rfam family: Bacterial small subunit ribosomal RNA
Source: RNAcentral
UACGUAGGGUGCGAGCGUUGUCCGGAAUUAUUGGGCGUAAAGAGCUCGUAGGCGGUGUGUCGCGUCGGCCGUGAAAACCUGGGGCUCAACUCUGGGCGUGCGGUCGAUACGGGCAUCACUGGAGUUCGGCAGGGGAGACUGGAAUUCCUGGUGUAGCGGUGGAAUGCGCAGAUAUCAGGAGGAACACCGGUGGCGAAGGCGGGUCUCUGGACAUUUCCGUGACGCUGAGGCACGAAAGCCAGGGGAGCAAACGGG